This 433-nucleotide ribosomal RNA is filed under the name uncultured bacterium. Its description in RNAcentral is "partial 16S ribosomal RNA". It matches the Rfam family "Bacterial small subunit ribosomal RNA", at positions 29 to 507 of the family's 1533-position model. The record is from RNAcentral.
AACGAACGCUGGCGGCAUGCCUAACACAUGCAAGUCGAACGAUACCUUCUGGUCUCGUGGCGCACGGGUGCGUAACGCGUGGGAACCUGCCCUUAGGUUCGGAAUCACUCCCCGAAAGGGGUUCUAAUACCGGAUAAUGUCUUCGGACCAAAGAUUUAUCGCCUUGGGAUGGGCCCGCGUUUGAUUAGCUCGUUGGUAGGGUAAAAGCCUACCACGGCGACGAUCCAUAGCUGGUCUGAGAGGAUGAUCAGCCACACUGGGACUGAGACACGGCCCAGACUCCUACGGGAGGGAGGAGUGGGGAAUACUGGAAAAGGGGAGAAAGACUGAGACAGAAAUGGCGGGGGAGUGAUGAAGGCAUUAGGGUUGUAAAGCUCUUUUAGCCGGGAAGAUAAUGACAGUACCGGGAGAAUAAGCUCCGGCUAACUCCGUG